GAUGAACGCUGGCGGCGUGCCUAAUACAUGCAAGUCGAGCGAACGGACGAGAAGCUUGCUUCUCUGAUGUUAGCGGCGGACGGGUGAGUAACACGUGGAUAACCUACCUAUAAGACUGGGAUAACUUCGGGAAACCGGAGCUAAUACCGGAUAAUAUUUUGAACCGCAUGGUUCAAAAGUGAAAGACGGUCUUGCUGUCACUUAUAGAUGGAUCCGCGCUGCAUUAGCUAGUUGGUAAGGUAACGGCUUACCAAGGCAACGAUGCAUAGCCGACCUGAGAGGGUGAUCGGCCACACUGGAACUGAGACACGGUCCAGACUCCUACGGGAGGCAGCAGUAGGGAAUCUUCCACAAUGGGCGAAAGCCUGACGGAGCAACGCCGCGUGAGUGAUGAAGGUCUUCGGAUUGUAAAACUCUGUUAUUAGGGAAGAACAUAUGUGUAAGUAACUGUGCACAUCUUGACGGUACCUAAUCAGAAAGCCACGGCUAACUACGUGCCAGCAGCCGCGGUAAUACGUAGGUGGCAAGCGUUAUCCGGAAUUAUUGGGCGUAAAGCGCGCGUAGGCGGUUUUUUAAGUCUGAUGUGAAAGCCCACGGCUCAACCGUGGAGGGUCAUUGGAAACUGGAAAACUUGAGUGCAGAAGAGGAAAGUGGAAUUCCAUGUGUAGCGGUGAAAUGCGCAGAGAUAUGGAGGAACACCAGUGGCGAAGGCGACUUUCUGGUCUGUAACUGACGCUGAUGUGCGAAAGCGUGGGGAUCAAACAGGAUUAGAUACCCUGGUAGUCCACGCCGUAAACGAUGAGUGCUAAGUGUUAGGGGGUUUCCGCCCCUUAGUGCUGCAGCUAACGCAUUAAGCACUCCGCCUGGGGAGUACGACCGCAAGGUUGAAACUCAAAGGAAUUGACGGGGACCCGCACAAGCGGUGGAGCAUGUGGUUUAAUUCGAAGCAACGCGAAGAACCUUACCAAAUCUUGACAUCCUUUGACAACUCUAGAGAUAGAGCUUUCCCCUUCGGGGGACAAAGUGACAGGUGGUGCAUGGUUGUCGUCAGCUCGUGUCGUGAGAUGUUGGGUUAAGUCCCGCAACGAGCGCAACCCUUAAGCUUAGUUGCCAUCAUUAAGUUGGGCACUCUAAGUUGACUGCCGGUGACAAACCGGAGGAAGGUGGGGAUGACGUCAAAUCAUCAUGCCCCUUAUGAUUUGGGCUACACACGUGCUACAAUGGACAAUACAAAGGGCAGCGAAACCGUGAGGUCAAGCAAAUCCCAUAAAGUUGUUCUCAGUUCGGAUUGUAGUCUGCAACUCGACUACAUGAAGCUGGAAUCGCUAGUAAUCGUAGAUCAGCAUGCUACGGUGAAUACGUUCCCGGGUCU
Molecule: ribosomal RNA, 1372 nt
Filed under: uncultured bacterium
Lineage: Bacteria
Description: bacterial SSU rRNA
Rfam family: Bacterial small subunit ribosomal RNA
Source: RNAcentral